GCUAGAGUUUGAUAGAGGAAAGCAGAAUUUCUAGUGUAGAGGUGAAAUUCGUAGAUAUUAGAAAGAAUACCAAUUGCGAAGGCAGCUUUCUGGAUCAUUACUGACACUGAGGAACGAAAGCAUGGGUAGCGAAGAGGAUUAGAUACCCUCGUAGUCCAUGCCGUAAACGAUGUGUGUUAGACGUUGGAAAUUUAUUUUCAGUGUCGCAGCGAAAGCAAUAAACACACCGCCUGGGGAGUACGACCGCAAGGUUAAAACUCAAAUGAAUUGACGGGGACCCGCACAAGUAGUGGAGCAUGUGGUUUAAUUCGAAGAUACGCGCAGAACCUUACCAACACUUGACAUGUUCGUCGCGACUUUGAGAGAUUAAAGUUUUCGGUUCGGCCGGACGAAACACAGGUGCUGCAUGGCUGUCGUCAGCUCGUGUCGUGAGAUGUUGGGUUAAGUCCCGCAACGAGCGCAACCCUCACUUUUAGUUGCCAUCAUUUAGUUGGGCACUCUGAAGGAACUGCCAGUGAUAAGCUGGAGGAAGGUGGGGAUGACGUCAAGUCCUCAUGGCCCUUACGUGUUGGGCUACACACGUGCUACAAUGGUAUUUACAACAGGAAGCAAGACGGCGACGUUAAGCAAAUCCUCAAAAAAUACCUCAGUUCGGAUUGCACUCUGCAACUCGAGUGCAUGAAGCUGGAAUUACUAGUAAUCGUGGAUCAGCGUGCCACGGUGAAUGCGUUCCCGGGUCUUGUACACACCGCCCGUCACACCAUGGGAGUUGGUUCUACCUUAAGGCAAGGUUUAAUACCCUUGACCACGGUAUAGUCAGCGACUGGGGUGAAGUCGUAACAAGGUAAC
This 849-nucleotide ribosomal RNA is filed under the name uncultured Alphaproteobacteria bacterium. RNAcentral's name for it is "bacterial SSU rRNA". It matches the Rfam family "Bacterial small subunit ribosomal RNA", at positions 640 to 1500 of the family's 1533-position model. The record is from RNAcentral. Lineage: Bacteria; Pseudomonadati; Pseudomonadota; Alphaproteobacteria.